Molecule: ribosomal RNA, 490 nt
Filed under: uncultured bacterium
Lineage: Bacteria
Description: partial 16S ribosomal RNA
Rfam family: Bacterial small subunit ribosomal RNA
Source: RNAcentral
AUUGAACGCUGGCGGCAGGCCUAACACAUGCAAGUCGAACGGUAACAGGAAACAGCUUGCUGUUUCGCUGACGAGUGGCGGACGGGUGAGUAAUGUCUGGGAAACUGCCUGAUGGAGGGGGAUAACUACUGGAAACGGUAGCUAAUACCGCAUAACGUCGCAAGACCAAGGAGGGGGACCUUCGGGCCUCUUGCCAUCGGAUGUGCCCAGAUGGGAUUAGCUAGUAGGUGGGGUAACGGCUCACCUAGGCGACGAUCCCUAGCUGGUCUGAGAGGAUGACCAGCCACACUGGAACUGAGACACGGUCCAGACUCCUACGAGAGGCAGCAGUGGGGAAUAUUGCACAAUGGGCGCAAGCCUGAUGCAGCCAUGCCGCGUGUAUGAAGAAGGCCUUCGGGUUGUAAAGUACUUUCAGCGGGGAGGAAGGGAGUAAAGUUAAUACCUUUACUCAUUGACGUUACCCGCAGAAGAAGCACCGGCUAACUCCGUG